Molecule: ribosomal RNA, 378 nt
Filed under: uncultured Hyphomicrobiales bacterium
Lineage: Bacteria; Pseudomonadati; Pseudomonadota; Alphaproteobacteria; Hyphomicrobiales
Description: bacterial SSU rRNA
Rfam family: Bacterial small subunit ribosomal RNA
Source: RNAcentral
UAGUGAGUUUGAUCCUGGCUCAGAACGAACGCUGGCGGCAGGCUUAACACAUGUAAGUCGAACGGGCGUAGCAAUACGUCAGUGGCAGACGGGUGAGUAACACGUGGGAACCUUCCUAGGGGUACGGAACAACUCAGGGAAACUUGAGCUAAUACCGUAUACGUCCGUGAGGAGAAAGAUUUAUCGCCCUUAGACGGGCCCGCGUCGGAUUAGCUAGUUGGUGGGGUAACGGCCUACCAAGGCGACGAUCCGUAGCUGAUCUUAGAGGAUGAUCAGCCACACUGGGGACUGAGACACGGCCCAGACUCCUACGGGAGCAGCAGUGGGGAAUUUUCCGCAAUGGGCGAAAGCCUGACGGAGCAAGACCGCGUGAGGGGA